AAAGUUUCAUUACAAAAUGAAUUAAGGCAUAAAGCCAUUACAUAUACCAGUCAAUAAGCUGGUCAAAAUAAGCAAAUGUCAUCUAAACAUUUACCUAACACCACUAAGUAACCUAGUAAAUUGAUAAACAUAACUUGCACACAUAGUGAAGCUGAUUUAUCAAUCCAUCAGCACCUAAUUACAUCAAAUAUUUUAUCAACUUAGUUCAAAUCUAAAUAAGUAACAAAAUAUUUCCUUGAAGUAACAAAAUCAACAGCAUAGGCUCUAGCUGCAACAUGCAUGGCUCGGGCUGCAUGGUCUGCUCCUUGUGCUACUCCUUGUCCUGCAUGGAAGCCAACUUCAACAGUGCCACCAUAUACUCAAAUUUUGGAAUUAUUGUCCCCCGUGCCAUCGAUGUCAACAUAAUAAUACGUCAACUGGAUUGUUACUUCCGAACUUCCAAGGGGAGCCAUAGCAGUCAAAUUGCAGAGGCAUGAAGGAAUGGUUCCUGUGAUAUUGUUGAGAGAAAGAUCCAAUACUUGAAGAAACUGUUGGCAACAUAAAGUUGAAUGUAUGUCUCCAUUAAACUCAUUCGAUCAUAGACAAAGAAAAAUCAAAUUCUCCAGUCUUUCUCCUAUCCAUGGUGGAAUGAUUCGACUAAAAUUGUUAUCCUUUUGUCUGUUGCAACAAUAAUAUGUCAUUGUCUUGUUCUUUUCUUUGAUCUGAUUAUUGUGCGUGGGUUGUGGAAAACUAAUAAAUGAGAGAAUUAAGUUACAUGCUCUCAUUCAAUUAAACUGGUUUAUCAAAUAAAAAAUAAGUUUAACUCCUACAUUCUUCGAGUUUGAAAUUAAAAUUAUUUGUGAUACUAUUUUUUAAAUUUGAAAAAUUGAUUAAGUUCAAAAAUAACUUGAGCCAAUCAUUAAGAUAUUUGAUUCCGAAAUAAUUAGUUCAGUACUUCAUAUGUUGUCACCAUAGUUUAAUAUAUAUUUGAGGUUAUUGGAAUUUAAGAAUCCAGAACUGUUACAAUUUGACCAACCAUGCAACUGUUACAGCCUUGCCCCUUGGUGCAUGCAAAAUUUGCUCGAAUUUAGUUCUUUUGUUAUGUCGUUUGGUUGAAAAUGAUAGGUGCUGAUUGACAUAAUCAGUUUGAGUACAAGUUAAGUUUUACUAGUUUCCAAGUUAUUAGUGGGAGUAGUUGUGUAUUUGGUAGAUUUUUAUCACUUAAGUGGAUUGUUUUCUUGAUUAAUUGAUAAGCUGAUAGUUUCAUACUUUCUAUGCUGCACGUUUGUGUUUCUUUGUUCUCUAUUCUUCUUUCACAAAACCACUAACAAUUGGUAUCUAGAGCUCCCAUGGUUAGCCAUUGUGGUAAAAUUGUUGAGGCAUGAUGGAAUGCUUCCUGAUAUAUUGUUGAGAGAAAGAUCCAAUACUUGAAGAAAUUGUAGAUGACGUAAAGUUGAAAGUAUGUCACCAUGAAACUUAUUUGAUCGCAAACAAAGAACAAUCAGACUCUCUAGUCUCGCCCCUAUCCACGGUGGAAUGAUUCCAAUUAUUUUGUUCUCCCCCAAAUCCAAGAGUUUCAAUCUGGAACAAUUUUUUAAGGAUUCAGGUAUUUCACCAUACAAACUAGUGUUCCUUAAACGCAAUGAUCCCAACUGCUCAAUUGUUCUCAGAGAAUUGGGGACUGCCCCUAACAAAUUAUUGUUCUCUAAAUUGAUAGUAGAUAAUUGCUGGUAUGUAGUCUAACAAUCUGGAAUCUGUCCCGAUAACAAAUUGUUAGAGAGAUCAAGAUAAGACAUAACUAUUCUUCUCUGUGCAUAAGAAAGACAACGAUCUAUUGAACAUGUUGUUGGACAGAUCCAACACUGUCGAUUUAGACAAGAAUUGAGGUAUGGGGCCAUAAAAAAGAUUCGAACUCAAAUCCGUUGAAGGGUAAGUACCAAAUUUUAGCGCAGAUUUGGAACUCUCUCACUGAUUUGGUUGAAGGAUAGGUUUAAAAACAGGAGUCUUGAAGGCAAAUUCCAAAACCAAUCGGGGAUGACGUCUGAAAUGUUGGAAUUGGAGAUUUAUAGAUGGAAGAAACUCUUUCAGUAAGAAGUUGCAGCCAGUAGUCAUAUUCUGGGAAAGAAUCUAUAUGUAAACCAUGAAAAAUUGGGAGCAACUUUGACCUGAAAACGUUGCCAGGAAAUGGAAUUUGAUCUGUUUAUGUGGGACGAGUGUACUUAUACUAAAGAGUGUCAGAAAAUGGCAUGUUCGAAACUAAUUUUUGGCCGAGAAUGGCUUUUAAUAGUUAGAGUUGCAGGAAAUGGUCAUAUUCUGGGAAAGUGUUGGGUUUUUUAUAGCAGCAAAAUAAGAGAACAAUACAGAGAACAAAGGAGGAAGAAACAAAGAACAAUUUACUUACUCACAAACGUGCAGCAAGGAAGCAAUCUGCUUUACACAACUGAUAUGCUUGCUCAUUCAAUAUGAAAACAAUACAUAUAUAAUCAAAAUACAUCACCAAAUAUUCAACUAACCCCACUAAUCAGCAUUAGGACUAUUAAAAUAUUACUUGUACACAUGGAUAAGCAGAUUUAUCAGCUCAAUCAUCCCAUCAAAACAUCAACAUCAAAGUUCAUUUUCAACCAAACUAAAUUACAUUGCAACUAAAACAGAUAUUUGUUGCUAUAACGUGCACAAUUGCUGCAGCGUGCAUACAAGCUGCAUGCACUCAACAAAAUCAUCAUAGUAUUAUGUACUUUAACAAAAACAUAACAGCAGCAUGGUUGGCCAUUUUUCAACAGAAAGAAUCUACAUGUAGCUCAUGAAAAACUGUGAACAAUUUUGACCUGAAAACGUUGCAAGGAAAUGGAAUUUGAUCUGUCUAUGUGGGAAAGUUUCAGUAAGAGUGUAUUUAUACACUCUAAUACACCUUCAUUUAUUGCUUGUUUCAUUAAGAAACAUCUGUUUCUUAAUUUACUUCGUUUCGCUAUGAUAGAGAAUGAACUUUGUUGGUUCAUUUGGGAAUUUUGUUUCCUUGAAUUCACUUUUUGAUUCAUUGAUGUCUCUAAGCUACUUAUCUCAUCUUGUAUUCAUUCUGGCAGGCUGAUGGCUAGAUUUUUUUGUGGACUUUAGAUAUUAUAUAUCGAUACAGCAACAGUGAGUAUCACUUGAAAUUAAACCUUAUUUUACAAAUGUUUUGAUAUACCAAAAUAAUAACACACACAAAAAAAGUAGUCCGUAUAUAUAUUCACGGGAAAUUAAAUAUAUAUUCAAGAUUACACAACUAUGAUAAAGCACACAAUAUAUUAAAACUAGCAUAUGACUAGGAAGCAGACCCCAACGUGUAGGGAGAGAAAAUGGAGAGCAUUUUAUACCUUAGUCUUUCAGUCGAAGUCUUUGCUGCAAUUUGACUGUCUCCAAUGCCAUUGUCAAUCUGAUCCAAUCUUCUAGUUUAUUCACUAGCCGAAAGUAUUUAUGUCUCCAAGACCUGCUAAUAAUUAACGAACCGAAAACACCCCAAAAUCCAACAAGAAAUCCAACUGUCAUUCCAGUAAAAAACCUGUAAUAAAAACCCACAAAACAUUUGUUGCCAAGUUUUUACAUUUAUGAGGGAUGAAGGUACAUCAUUUGAAAAAACUUAUUGCUCCUCAAACUCACUGAUGGACCCUGCUCUAUCAAAUCCAUUGAGCUUGCUAUUAUUCCCAAUAAAUUAUCAUUUGAAAUACUAAUGAUUUAAUGUCGCUGUAGCUGUAGUCAGAAUUUCAAACCUCAUUAUAUAUGAUGAAGUUGGUCAGUAUGAAGCAAACACUCGACAGCAGGCAGGCCAUGAAGACCAAGCUAUGUAGGAGCUGCUGAUGCAAGCUUAUUUUGCUCAUUUUGUAAUUUCUAGUCAAUGAAAUGUAAUUUAGUUCAUUUAGAACUAUGUUAGGUAGAUGAUUGAUGUAAUUUUCUAUCAUAUGAGCUGUUAAUUCAACUUUGCUUGUAUGCACAAGUUAAUUACUUCAAGUUUCAAUGUUUAGUGGUGUUAGGUAACCAUUAGGUGAAUGUUUACUGUUUUUGACAAGCUUAGAGCUUGAUUUAUGUAUUGGCAUUUUGCCACUGUUAAUUCUAUGAAUGAAUCAAGUUUUGUUCAUCAAAUACUCUCCAUUUUUCUAGCUUUUUCUUUUUUUUCUUUUGCUCGAAUUUAUUUGUUUGCUCAGCAAGCAUCGAGGCUUGUUGCACAAGACACUUGCCGAGUCUGUUAUUUCUGUUAGUGCACCAAAAAUUGGUAUCUAGAGCCUAUUUCUUAAGGGACCUGGUAUUCAAUGAAUGGCUUCAUCAAACUUUUCACCAGCUACACCAUAAGUUUUCAAUGGGGAAGGCUAUCACAUAUGAGUGGUCAAAAUGAAGACCUACCUGCAGGCUUUCGAUCUGUGGGAGGUGGUCAACUUUGAUGUUGAACCAGAGCCACUUAGAGCUAAUCCAACAGUGGCUCAGAUAAGGCAGCAUGCUGAUGAGAGGACCAAGAGGCACAAGGCCAUGUCCUGCAUACAGAACUCAGUGUCAGAUGUGAUUUUCACAAGGAUUAUGGCUUGUGAAACACCAAAGCAGGCCUGGGAUAAGUUGAAAGAGGAGUUUCAAGGGACAGAGAGGACAAGGCAUCAACAGUUGUUAAAUUUAAUGAGAGAAUUCGAGAACUUGAAGAUGAAGGAAGAAGAAAGUGUCAAGCAAUAUUCUGACAGGAUUAUGGCUGUGGUAAACAGCAUAAGGCUCCUUGGUGAGCAGUUCAGUGAAGCUGGGAUAGUGGAGAAGGUGAUUUCAACAUUACCAGAGAGGUAUGAGGUAAAAAUCUCAUCUCUCGAAGACUUAAGGGACUUGACCAGUAUUCCCUUGACAGAGCUUAUCAAUGCUCUUUAUGCACAAGAGCAGAGAAGAGCUAGCAGACUGGAGGAGCACCAGGAAGGUGCCUUUUAGGCAAAAACCAAUACUGCCUAUAAAGGCAAGAAGACCUGGAAAAAUAGGCCUAAGCCUGAUGCUACAAGGGGCAAUGACCAACCUUGCAGGCAUUGCAAGAGGCCUAGUCAUCCAGAAGAAAAAUGUUGGUUCAAUCCAGAUGCUGUAUGCCAGUAUUGCAAAAAGAAGGGUCAUGCUGAAAGAGUCUGCAAAAGCAAGGCCAAAUCAAGGCAGAAUCAGUUUCAACAGAUGAAAGCUGAGGCUCGAGUAGCCAAGGAGGACAGUGACCAAGAGGAGUAAGUUUUUACUGUGUCAUGCUCAGCUGUACAGGAGAGGCUCUCAUCUGGUUGGCUUCUAGACAGUGGAUGCACCAAUCACAUGACACCUGAUGCUGCAAUCUUCAAAUCUUUAGACAGAAACUGCAGAACCAAAAUCAAAAUAGGUAAUGGCCACUUUAUUCAAGCUGAAGGCAAGGGUGAUGUGCUGAUAUGCACUCCCACAGGUGCCAAAGUGAUUUCAAAUGUGCUCCUGGUGCCUGAAAUUGACAGAAACCUGCUCAGUAUAGCUCAACUGCUGGAGAGAGGUUAUUCUGUGAUGUUCAAAGAUAACCAAUGCCAAAUCAGUGAUCCAAGUGGAUCCAAGCUGAUGGCAGUCCCUAUGACUGAUAAGAGCUUUGUAGUUGACUGGACAAUAGAGUCAGACACUGCCUACGCAGCUACAACAGUUGAAUCCAAGCUUUGGCAUUAAAGGCUUGGACAUGCCAAUUUCAGAUCAAUGGCUCAAAUGGUCAGAGAAGGAUUAGCUGAAAACUUCACCAACAUAGUGAAGCAUGAUGAUGUGUGUGAAGUAUGUCAGCUAGGCAAGCAGGCUAAACUUCCAUUUCCCUCAAAUCAAGCCUGGAGAGCCUCUGAAAGAUUGCAAUUGGUGCACACUGAUGUGUAUGGCCCCAUGAAGACUGAUUCAUUAAGUGGAAACAGGUAUUUCAUAUUGUUCAUUGAUGAUUUCUCGAGAUAUUGUUGGCUUUACUUCUUGAAACAGAAAUCAGAGGUGGCCUCUGUGUUUUGGAAGUUCAAAACUGCUGCUGAAAUUGAAACAGGUUGCAAGCUAAAGACCAUAAGGUCUGAUAAUGGGACUGAGUAUACCUCAGCUCAGUUCCAAGCCUUUUGUGAUAAGGCAGGCAUCAAAGAUCAACUUACCAACACUUAUACACCUCAGUCAAAUGGUGUGAGUGAAAGGAAGAAUAGGAGUUUGAUGGAUAUGGCUAGGUGCCUGGUGAUUCAGAAGAAACUGCCUAAAGCUCUAUGGGCAGAAGCAGUUAACACUACAACAUACAUUCAAAACAGGCUUCCAACCAAAGCUUUGGACCAGAAGACUCCAUUCGAGGCCUGGUUUGGAUUCAAACCAUCACUGGCUCAUCUGAAGGUCUUUGGAUGCAUCUGUUAUGCACAUGUACCUGCUGUUAAAAGGGACAAAUUGUCUGAAAGGGCUCGACCUGGUAUUCUGAUGGGCUACAGCACUGUCAAGAAGGGUUUUAGGAUCUUGGAUCCUUCAACAAACAAAUUGUCAGUCAGCAGGGAUGUGGUAUUUGAUGAAAGGUCAUGUUGGAACUGGGAAAGACAUGAACCUGAGGAAGUUUCAGAAGAACUUGCAGCAGAUCAAGCUGAGCCAGACCAAAAUGGUCCUGAAAUGGACAUUGAUGAUAAAACAGUCAGGGGAAUAAGACCAUUGACUGAGAUUUAUGAAAGGGCUCAUGUAGCCAUAGCUGAACCAAGCAACUUUGAAGAGGCUGAAGCUCAGCAAGGGUGGAAGCAGGUAAUGGCUGAGGAGAUCAGCAUGAUUGAGAAGAACCAGACCUAGAAAUUGGUUGAAAGGCCAGUCAAAAAGAAGGUAAUUGGGGUGAAAUGGGUGUACAAAGCCAAGCAAAAUGCUGAUGGAACCUUGAACAAACUAAAAGCAAGGCUAGUUGUCAAGGGGUUCAGUCAAAAAUAUGGCCUGGACUAUCUGGAGACCUUUGCACCAGUGGCCAGGCUUGACACCAUCAGACUGCUGAUUACCUUAGCAGCACAGCUCGAAUGGAAGAUCCAUCAACUAGAUGUGAAGUUAGCUUUUUUGAAUGGCUUCUUAGAUGAAGACAUUUAUGUUGAUCAACCACAAGGGUUUGAGAUAGUUGGCAAAGAGCACAUGGUCUAUAAACUGAAGAAGGCCCUAUAUGGCUUAAAACAGGCUCCAAGGGCCUGGUAUUCCAGAAUCGAUGGCUACUUGACUAAUUUGGGAUUUUUUCGAAGCAAGAGUGAACCAACACUGUAUGUCAAGAAGGAAGGGGCACAAACACAGCUCAUUGUGUCCCUAUAUGUUGAUGACCUGCUGGUGACAGGAGGAGAUCAAACAAUGCUGGUCAAUUUCAAGACCAAGAUGCAGGAGGUGUUUGAAAUGUCUGAUCUAGAGGAGAUGUCCUAUUUUCUUGGAAUGGAGGUGUCACAAACACAAAAUGGGAUAUUCCUAAGUCAGAAAAGCUUUGCCACAAAGAUUCUGACCAAGUUCUCCAUGCAGAACAACAAGGCAACUAAAACUCCUAUUGCUGUUAGAGAGAAACUAUCGAGCCAAGGUGAAUUUGAGAGAGUUUGUGAAACUACCUACAGAAGUCUAGUUGGUUGUUUGCUAUACUUAACUGCCACUAGGCCAGACAUAAUGUAUGCUGUAGGAUUGCUCUCAAGAUUCUUGCAUUGCUGCAAUGAGAAGCAUUUUCAGGCUGCAAAAAGAGUGCUCAGAUAUAUCAAAGGCACUUUAAGCUAUGGUUUGAAGUAUAGCAAGGAAGAAAAUCUGAAGCUGGUUGGCUAUACUGAUAGUGACUAGGCUGGCUCGAUAGAUGAUAUGAAAAGCACCUCAGGGUAUACUUUUAACCUUGGUUCAGCCAUGUUCUGCUGAAGCUCGAAGAAGCAAAGCCUGGUGGCUCAAUCUACUGCUGAAGCAGAGUAUGUGGCAGCAGCAAGUGCUGUCAACCAAGCCAUUUGGCUAAGGAAAAUCUUUGCCGAUUUGAAUGUACAUCAAAGAGAAGCAACAGAGAUCUUUUGUGACAACCAAUCUACUGUUGCAAUUGCUAAAAAUCUAGUGUUCCAUGGAAGAACAAAGCAUUUCAGCAUUAAAUUGCAUGUUGUUCGAGAAAUGGAGCAAGCACAAGAGAUGAAGCUAAUUCAUUGUAAUUUAGAGGAUCAACUUGCUGACUGUAACACCCCUUAACCCCGAACCGUCGUCGGAAUAGGGUUACGAGGCAUUACCGAAAGUAUCAAACAGUUUACAACAAAUCUGCCCAAUCGCGCAGCAGUUACUAAAUUACUUAUAAUUUUAGCUACGGAACUCAAAAUUUAAUUCCAUAAAUUUUCCCUGAAACUAGACUCGUAUAUCUUCCUACCAUAAAAAUUUCAUAAUUUUUGGUCCAGCCAAUUAGUACAGUUUAUUAGUUAAAGUAAGCCCUGUUUCACCAAUUGACUGCCCUGACCUCUUGUCACUAAAAAUAAAAUUUCUCAUUGUAGGAUUGUCAUAUGAAGUUAUUACUUGUUUCUAGAGAAAAUAGACUCAAUAAGGAUUCUAUACAUAUAAACUACAACUCAUAAUUAUUUUUUUACCAUUUUUAGUGAUUUUCUAAACUUAGAAUAGGGGACUCCAAAAACAGUUCUGACCCUGUCUCACUAAAAUUCACAUAUCUUAAAAUAUAAAAUUCUUUUUGCUAAACCGUUAUUUUUAUAUGAAAAUAGACUUAACAAGCUUUAAUUUAAUAUAUCAUUCACCCUCUAAUUCAUUUUAUACUAUCCUAGGUGAUUUUUCAAAGUUACGUCACUGUUGCUGCCUGAAUUCUGUUUCUUUGCAAAGUUUACCCUUUCUUGAUUUUCAUACUUAACCAUUUUAAAAGCCAAACAUUAUCACAUGCUCACACAUCUUUCUUUAGCAAUCUCAUAGAUACAACAUUCAAAAUGACUAAUCCCUAUACAUCACUUAGGUUUAUACAUUACCUAGGUACAUGUCACAUUAUCAACAGAAAGGUACAUCACUAAAAUGUCUCUGAGGUCGGGAUUACUUUGGAUGCUGGAUCGAACACUAGUUUUUUUACUAACCUGCGCACGGAAACAACCGUACGCUGAGUAUGGGUAUACUCAGUGGUAUUACCAUAAUUCAAAUUAAUAACAUUAAUCGAUAAAUUAUAAAUAUUUUAUUUAUGUCUACAAUUAUUCAUUAAUUAUCUCAUACAUUAAAUCAACUUGAUAAUUAAUAACAAUAAGCAAUAAUUCAAAUCUUAUAUUUAAUUGUAUUCAUACCUUAUUUCACUAUCUCAAUUCCGUGGGAUUUUUUCUUAUAGUUCAUUUCAAUUCAUAUACAAUUCAUUUCAUUUAAUUUAUAUUCAAUAUCAAUUUUAUUGCAAUUUUUACUCACUAAUAUCAUAUAACAAAAUUUACUCUUUAUCAUAUUAUGAACUUUGGGUUCAUAUAUUUAAAUCUCAUAUCUCGAUUUCCAAUUCACAUAUCAAUUCACAAUUUCACUUUCUCAUUUCUUUCCAUAUCCCAAUCAGUCACACUUAUUCAAAUUUUCUCAUUUCAAUUAUUUACCCCUAUUAACAAGACUCGGACCUUGGCGGAUACACGGAUCCAACCAAACACACCAGAAUGGCACCCAGUGCCUCAUCGGAUAGUUCGAAGCAAUAGUUGACACCCAGUGUCUCAUCGGCAAAGCCGAAGUAAGUUGGUACCCAGUACCUCAUCGAAUCUAUCCGAAGUAACAGUAUGACACCCAGUGUCUCAUCGACUCAAGGUCGAAGUAUCCCUGAACACUUCCAAUCCUAUGGCAUGCCAACUAUAUCCGACUCAGCCCGACUAGUUAAUAGGGUUUCCGAAUCACAUUUCAAUUCAAUCACUUUCUCAUACUUUCAAUUCAAAUCAUUCCAAUUUAAUCACCAUUUGAUUCAAUACAUUUUUCUAUUUCAAAUUCACUUCCCACUUUCAAAUCAAUGUACAGUUCAGUACCAAUACAUAUUUCACAAAUCAUACUUCGAUUCGAAUCAAACCACUUUUCAGUCAAUACUCAAUUCACGUAUUCACACUUAUUCAUAAUUUAAUUCACUUUUAUUCAAUUCAUAUUUUUAAUUCAUUCAAUUAAAUAUCGAUAUUCUCCUUAUUUUUAUUUACUAAACAUAUUAUUCAAAAUUCAACAAUUACUAUCAAUAAAUUCAAUAUCAAUACGUAUAUAUAUAUAUUUCAUUCGAUUCAAUCAUGAUACUCACCUCAAUUUUCUUAUCAUGUAUAUUAAUUUAAAUUUUAACGAUUAAUAAUUAAAUUCGAAUUAUGGUAAUACUAACCGGAAUUUCUCUCGAGUCACUUCUUGUCCACUUUCCCCUUUCCUUUCUCGGACAAUAACUCGUGCACGACAUUAGCUACGUAAUUAAACAAUUAAAAAUCAUUAAUACACAAUUUCAUUAAAACAUUUCCCGUAUACCUAAACUUUACCCAAAUUCUAAUUUAAUCCCUUAUCAAUACUAAUUUUAUUUUUCCAUUCUAACUCUAUAUUCUCUCUUAAUUCUUACUAUAAACUCAGUUUAAUUCUUCAAUUUCCCCAUAAAUCCCUAAUUUCGGGAUUCUUUCAAUUUAAUCCCUAUCAGUUCAAAACUUAUAUUUUAUUUUACAAAUCAAUCUUUUACUAACUUCUAACUUAAAAUUCAAUCAUUUUAACCUCUAGUUCAUCAAUUAAUUCAACAUAACUCAUGUCUAACAAUCUACUAACUUUCAAAAUAUCAACAUAAAUCAAGUAGUAUUUAUCUCUAGGAUUCCAAAAACUCAAAAAUUAUAAGAAAAAGACUUAAUUUGACUUACCAAUUGAGCUUGGAACCUUAAAACCUUAAAUUUCCCUUUUUCUUUUUCUUUCUUUCUUUCUUUCUUUCCUUCCUUCUCUGCCCGUUUUGCUCUCUGUUUCUUUCUCUGUUUCGUCUCUUCUAUUCUGUUUCUUUUCUUUCUUUUUCUAUUCUUUCUUUUGUUUUAUGUAUAUAUAUAAUAUAAUAUAAUAUAUUAAUAAUAAUAUAAUAUAAAAACAUAAUCAUUACUAUAAUAUAAGAAUAUUUUUUUAACACAUAAAAAUCUCAGAUUUUUAUACUUAUGCCGCCUCAACUUUGGAAAAAGGCAUAAUUGCCUAUUUGGUCCUUUUAACUUUUCUUUAAUCUAUAAUUAAACUUUUAUCCCUAUUGCAAUUUAAUCCUUUUUCAUAAUUAACUAUCGAAACGUUAAAAUUUCUUAACGAAACUUUAAUAUUAUCCUAUUGACACUCUGUAAAUAUUUAUAAAAAUAUUUACGGCUCAGUUUAUGAUAUCGAGGUCUCGAUACCUCGUUUUUGACCCAAUUUACCUAAUAAUUUCUUUUAAAUCACAAA
RNAcentral lists this long non-coding RNA (11295 nucleotides) under Gossypium barbadense (sea-island cotton). RNAcentral describes it as "long non-coding RNA (GBAR_LNC017679)". Lineage: Eukaryota; Viridiplantae; Streptophyta; Magnoliopsida; Malvales; Malvaceae. The record is from RNAcentral.